This 504-nucleotide ribosomal RNA is filed under the name uncultured Actinomycetes bacterium. RNAcentral's name for it is "bacterial SSU rRNA". It matches the Rfam family "Bacterial small subunit ribosomal RNA", at positions 355 to 851 of the family's 1533-position model. The record is from RNAcentral. Lineage: Bacteria; Bacillati; Actinomycetota; Actinomycetes.
UGGGGAAUCUUGCGCAAUGGGCGAAAGCCUGACGCAGCAACGCCGCGUGCGGGAAGAAGGCCUUCGGGUUGUAAACCGCUUUCAGCAGGGACGAAGGCGAGCGGGUUAAUAGCCCGUCAGUUGACUGUACCUGCAGAAGAAGGUCCGGCUAACUACGUGCCAGCAGCCGCGGUAAUACGUAGGGACCGAGCGUUGUCCGGAAUCAUUGGGCGUAAAGAGCGUGUAGGCGGCCCCUUAAGUCCUGCGUGAAAUCCUGCGGCUCAACCGCAGACGGUCGUGGGAAACUGGAGGGCUAGAGUGCGGGAGAGGAGAGUGGAAUUCCCGGUGUAGCGGUGAAAUGCGCAGAUAUCGGGAAGAACACCCGUGGCGAAGGCGGCUCUCUGGAACGCAACUGACGCUGAGACGCGAAAGCGUGGGGAGCAAACAGGAUUAGAUACCCUGGUAGUCCACGCCGUAAACGAUGGACGCUAGGUGUGGGCGGUGUCGACUCCGUCCGUGCCGAAG